UAUAUUUUGGUGUAGGAUGCACGAAGAGUUUUGAUCUCUUAAGAUUUAGUUUAAAUCUAGAAAAUAUAA
Molecule: transfer RNA, 69 nt
Filed under: Triatoma huehuetenanguensis
Lineage: Eukaryota; Metazoa; Arthropoda; Insecta; Hemiptera; Reduviidae
Description: tRNA-Gln
Source: RNAcentral